UCCACGCCGUAAACGAUGAUCACUAGUUGUUGGCGAUAAAAUGUCAGUGACUGAGCGAAAGCAUUAAGUGAUCCACCUGGGGAGUACGUUCGCAAGAAUGAAACUCAAAGGAAUAGACGGGGACCCGCACAAGUGGUGGAGCAUGUGGUUUAAUUCGAAGAUACGCGAAGAACCUUACCUAGCCUUGACAUUGAAGAAACACACUAGAGAUAGAGUGGUGCCCUUCGGGGAAU
This 233-nucleotide ribosomal RNA is filed under the name uncultured bacterium. Its description in RNAcentral is "partial 16S ribosomal RNA". It matches the Rfam family "Bacterial small subunit ribosomal RNA", at positions 794 to 1027 of the family's 1533-position model. The record is from RNAcentral.